RNAcentral lists this signal recognition particle RNA (98 nucleotides) under Sulfuricurvum sp. Its description in RNAcentral is "signal recognition particle sRNA small type". It matches the Rfam family "Bacterial small signal recognition particle RNA". Rfam says of the family: The signal recognition particle (SRP) is a universally conserved ribonucleoprotein involved in the co-translational targeting of proteins to membranes. Archaeal SRP consists of a 7S RNA and homologues of the eukaryotic SRP19 and SRP54 proteins. The record is from RNAcentral. Lineage: Bacteria; Pseudomonadati; Campylobacterota; Epsilonproteobacteria; Campylobacterales; Sulfurimonadaceae.
UCAUUAGACCUGUGCAAGGGUGCGUCAAGACAUUGUGUCAGGGCAGGAAUGCAGCAGCACACCUAGGCGUACUUUGUGCCGCAGGUAUCUGAUGGGGA